AGUGAACGCUGGCGGCAGGCCUAAUACAUGCAAGUCGAACGGCAGCACAGCAGAGCUUGCUCUGUGGGUGGCGAGUGGCGGACGGGUGAGGAAUACGUGGGAAUCUGCCCAGUCGUGGGGGAUAACGUAGGGAAACUUACGCUAAUACCGCAUGCGCCUUCGGGGAAAGCCGGGGGACCUUCGGGCCUGGCGCGAUUGGAUGAGCCCAGUCGGAUUAGCUAGUUGGCGGGGUAAAGGCCCACCAAGGCGACGAUCCGUAGCUGGUCUGAGAGGAUGAUCAGCCACACUGGAACUGAGACACGGUCCAGACUCCUACGGGAGGCAGCAGUAGGGAAUAUUGGAUAA
This 345-nucleotide ribosomal RNA is filed under the name uncultured bacterium. RNAcentral's name for it is "bacterial SSU rRNA". It matches the Rfam family "Bacterial small subunit ribosomal RNA", at positions 29 to 371 of the family's 1533-position model. The record is from RNAcentral.